CCUACGGGAGGCAGCAGUGAGGAAUAUUGGUCAAUGGGCGGGAGCCUGAACCAGCCAAGUCGCGUGAAGGAAGAAGGUACUUAGUAUUGUAAACUUCUUUUGUCGGGGAACAAAGCCGGAGACGCGUCUCCUGAUGAGUGUACCCGAAGAAAAAGCAUCGGCUAACUCCGUGCCAGCAGCCGCGGUAAUACUGAGGAUGCGAGCGUUAUCCGGAUUUAUUGGGUUUAAAGGGUGCGCAGGGGGGAGAUCAAGUCAGCGGUAAAAUGUUGGGGAUCAACCCCGGCCGGCCGUUGAAACUGGUUGUCUAGAGUUGGAGAGAAGUAUGCGGAAUUCGUGGUGUAGCGGUGAAAUGCAUAGAUAUCACGAAGAACUCCGAUUGCGAAGGCAGCAUACCGGCUCCAUACUGACGCUGAGGCACGAAAGCGUGGGGAUCGAACAGGAUUAGAUACCCCAGUAGUC
This 459-nucleotide ribosomal RNA is filed under the name uncultured bacterium. RNAcentral's name for it is "partial 16S ribosomal RNA". It matches the Rfam family "Bacterial small subunit ribosomal RNA", at positions 338 to 795 of the family's 1533-position model. The record is from RNAcentral.